Molecule: ribosomal RNA, 406 nt
Filed under: uncultured bacterium
Lineage: Bacteria
Description: partial 16S ribosomal RNA
Rfam family: Bacterial small subunit ribosomal RNA
Source: RNAcentral
AUUGAACGCUGGCGGCAGGCCUAACACAUGCAAGUCGAACGAGUGGCGGACGGGUGAGUUAUAUCUGGGAAUCUCCCUGAUGGAGGGGGAUCACUACUGGAAACGGUAUCUAAUACCGCAUACCAUCAGCUGUCCCCAGAUGGGAUUAGCUUGUUGGUGGGGUAACGGCUCACCAAGGCGACGAUCACUAGCUGGUCUGAGAGGAUGACCAGCCACACGGGAACUGAGACACGGGCCAGACUCCUACGGGAGGCAGCAGUGGGGAAUAUUGCACAAUGGGCGCAAGCCUGAUGCAGCCAUGCCGCGUGUAGGAAGAAGGCCUUCGGGUUGUAAAGGACUUUCAUCGGGGAGGCGGUACCCGAAGAAGAAGCACCGGCUAACUCCGUGCCAGCAGCCGCGGUAAUUC